GUGACAGCACACUCCAUGCAUGGGGACUUCAGAAGCACCAAGGCCACUGCAUGAUGUUCCACUGAGCCCCUGUGGCCGGCUGCAGAGGCCAAGGACUGAGCUACAGCUGAGGGCAGAGGGUCAUCUUCCAGCGCCACGCAGACACAAAGCGUGGACAAUAAAAGAUGCCAGAGGAAGAACACGCUCCCUGCAUGGGACCAGAGACUCUCCAAGGAUACAAGGGACGGCUGUGAGCGUGUCCCAAGAUCUAAGGCACUGCAGGGAGAGCCAUCUCUGCAAGAAGCAAUGUCCCCAGGAGAAAGAGGAGUCCAGGAUCCCAGAGGAAAGGACCAGAGCGUUGUUCCCUCCUGCAGUCUGGCCCUGCCUAUCCCAUGCUCUGUCCUGCUCUCCCCUGGCCCACAAGCCUUGCU
Molecule: long non-coding RNA, 410 nt
Organism: Centrocercus urophasianus (Greater sage-grouse)
Lineage: Eukaryota; Metazoa; Chordata; Aves; Galliformes; Phasianidae
Exons: 3
Source: RefSeq, a predicted model, not a curated record